CCUACGGGAGGCAGCAGUGGGGAAUAUUGGACAAUGGGGGGAACCCUGAUCCAGCCAUGCCGCGUGUGUGAAGAAGGCCCUCGGGUUGUAAAGCACUUUCAGUGAGGAAGAACGCCUGGUGGUUAAUACCCAUCAGGAAAGACAUCACUCACAGAAGAAGCACCGGCUAACUCCGUGCCAGCAGCCGCGGUAAUACGGAGGGUGCGAGCGUUAAUCGGAAUUACUGGGCGUAAAGCGCGCGUAGGUGGCUUGAUAAGCCGGUUGUGAAAGCCCCGGGCUCAACCUGGGAACGGCAUCCGGAACUGGCAAGCAUGAGGGCCAGAGAGGGAGGUAGAAUUCCCGGUGUAGCGGGUAAAUGCGUAGAGAGCGGGAGGAAUACCAAUGGCGAAGGCGGCCUUCUGGACUGACACUGACACUGAGGUGCGAAAGCGUGGGUAGCAAACAGGAUUAGAUACCCGGGUAGUC
RNAcentral lists this ribosomal RNA (465 nucleotides) under Vreelandella stevensii. Its description in RNAcentral is "partial 16S ribosomal RNA". It matches the Rfam family "Bacterial small subunit ribosomal RNA", at positions 338 to 795 of the family's 1533-position model. The record is from RNAcentral. Lineage: Bacteria; Pseudomonadati; Pseudomonadota; Gammaproteobacteria; Oceanospirillales; Halomonadaceae.